Molecule: ribosomal RNA, 253 nt
Filed under: uncultured bacterium
Lineage: Bacteria
Description: partial 16S ribosomal RNA
Rfam family: Bacterial small subunit ribosomal RNA
Source: RNAcentral
UACAGAGGGUGCGAGCGUUGUCCGGAAUCACUGGGCGUAAAGGGCGCGUAGGUGGCGCGACAAGUCAGUGGUGAAAGCUCGGCGCUCAACGCCGAGUCGGCCACUGAUACUGUUGGGCUUGAGCACUGUAGAGGCAGAUGGAAUUCCGGGUGUAGCGGUGGAAUGCGUAGAGAUCCGGAAGAACACCGGUGGCGAAGGCGGUCUGCUGGGCAGUAGCUGACACUGAGGCGCGAAAGCCAGGGGAGCGAACGGG